AUCAGUGGUAGCUAACUGUCUGCUGACCAAAUCAGGUGCUUGGUCACCUGUGCCUGCCCUUUCCCCAGCAUCCCACCUGUGCUGCGUUGCACUGAGCAGCCAGUGCCUGGCGGUGGGGAGUGGGGCAGCCCCAUGUUUGAUAUGCCUGCUGCGGUUGUAGAUUGAGCCCUUUGUUCUCUGGCAUCUCUCCAUUUGAAAAAUCGUAGGAUCACCAUCAUCAUUUGUUCCAUGGCAACAUCUUUGUUAAGGAGAGGAGAAGCCGUCAUGCUGGCAAUAGAAAGGUACAGAGCCCUCCUUCCUGCCUUUCAAGAGUGAUCCCUUGAAAACUUUUUGGGAAGCCCCUGUUCUGACACUCUCCAAGUCAUGGAAUUCAACAGGUGGGAGGAGGAAGCACAAUUGCAGUUCAUUUAACCCUCUCAUUUUAAAGCCUGUUCAGGACUGCCUUGAUGACACAUCAGAAGGGGGGCUUUCGAAGCAGUGCUGAAGUGGGAUGAGUUUAUUUCAUUCCUAUCAUUAAAGAAGAUGGAAGACUUAUUAUCUGCAACCUUAAUGGCAAUAAGUUAGACAAGCACAAGAUGAAAGAAAAAAUCUUCCCUAGCUUCUAUUAAGAAAAAAAGUCAACAUGUAGUUUUCUGCAGGCAACUGCAGAGAAAUACAUUAGACACCCUGUAUAUUUAUUUCCUGCAAAAAAUCUAGUCAUGGAUUCCAAGGGAAAAUAAAUCUUUUUUUUUGUUUGUUUGUUUGAACAGUAAAAUUAUUUUUGCUUUUUAUUCUUCUUUUUAAUUACUGAUUCUAAGUAUGAAAGAAAGGAAUAUACACCAUUUAGCUAUCACACCUCUGAUGAACAAAACAGAGAUGUCACAAGAGAUCUUCACAGUUUGUAUCAUUUUACAGGCAAAGCUCUUUCUCCUUUACCAGUUUCAUUCAUGGUUUCCAGAAACUGUUUCUGUAAUACUUUUCUCAUUGUGAAAUGAUUGCAUGUUACAGUAAAUAGUCCUGUCAAUUUGUUCUGUGUAAUCUAAACAUGCUGCGUGGAAAGAGGAGAGACGCUGGUUUUCCUAGAGACCUUUGUCGUGGAGUAGUGUAGUACGAGCGAAGUCCUGGGUGAGUAGGAAUGAUUUAGGAAUUUGUUCAUGUAAUGCAGGUUUUGGAUUACUGACACUUUCUGCCUCUGUUUAUAGUGCAUAGGCCAGCAAUCCCUUUUAAAGGCAGGGAAUAUGCAAGAGAAGCUUCUGGAAAGGACCACAACCUCCAUCAAAGUAAAAACAUCAGUCAUCUUGAUCUAGUCACUAAUCACCAUAUAUAUUAAAUCUCGUAUUUCACAGAGCAUUUCUAACCACUCAUAUCUUGGUAGCAGUAACUUACAAAAUGUACACAGUGGAUGAAUAUAUCAAAAUGACAAGAUUCAUUCUAGCCAGUAUGUGGGAGUAGUGGAUGUGACG
Cygnus olor (mute swan) is the source of this 1442-nucleotide long non-coding RNA. RefSeq lists it as uncharacterized. The transcript has 4 exons. Lineage: Eukaryota; Metazoa; Chordata; Aves; Anseriformes; Anatidae. The record is from RefSeq and is a predicted model, not a curated record.